CUUAUAGUAUUAUUGAAUGGCAUCGUUUAAUAAUUAAAGAUUUAUUGCUAUAAGAUGGCUAUGCGUUCUAUUAGCUAGUUGGUAUGGUAACGGCAUACCAAGGCUACGAUAGAUAGGGGUCCUGAGAGGGAGAUCCCCCACACUGGUACUGAGACACGGACCAGACUCCUACGGGAGGCAGCAGUGAGGAAUAUUGGACAAUGGAGGCAACUCUGAUCCAGCCAUGCCGCGUGUAGGAAGACUGCCCUAUGGGUUGUAAACUACUUUUAUAGAGGAAGAAACGANAUUACGUGUANUGUUUUGACGGUACUCUACGAAUAAGGAUCGGCUAACUCCGUGCCAGCAGCCGCGGUAAUACGGAGGAUCCAAGCGUUAUCCGGAAUCAUUGGGUUUAAAGGGUCCGUAGGCGGGUUUGUAAGUCAGUGGUGAAAGUUUUCGGCUCAACCGGAAAAUUGCCAUUGAUACUGCAAGUCUUGAAUCAUUGUGAAGUGGUUAGAAUGUGUAGUGUAGCGGUGAAAUGCAUAGAUAUUACACAGAAUACCGAUUGCGAAGGCAGAUCACUAACAAUGUAUUGACGCUNANGNACGANAGCGUGGGUAGCGNACANGAUUAGAUACCCUGNUAGUCCACGCCGUANNACGAUGGUUACUAGCUG
This 655-nucleotide ribosomal RNA is filed under the name Aquimarina sp. WH009122m. RNAcentral's name for it is "bacterial SSU rRNA". It matches the Rfam family "Bacterial small subunit ribosomal RNA", at positions 170 to 822 of the family's 1533-position model. Lineage: Bacteria; Pseudomonadati; Bacteroidota; Flavobacteriia; Flavobacteriales; Flavobacteriaceae. The record is from RNAcentral.